Molecule: long non-coding RNA, 584 nt
Filed under: Mus musculus (house mouse)
Lineage: Eukaryota; Metazoa; Chordata; Mammalia; Rodentia; Muridae
Description: predicted gene, 47408
Source: RNAcentral
GUUGAGGGGCAUCUGGGUUCUUUCCAGCUUCUGGCUAUUAUAAAUAAGGCUGCUAUGAACAUAGUGGAGCAUGUGUCCUUCUUACCGGUUGGGACAUCUUCUGGAUAUAUGCCCAGGAGAGGUAUUGCUGGAUCCUCCGGUAGUACUAUGUCCAAUUUUCUGAGGAACCGCCAGACUGAUUUCCAGAGUGGUUGUACAAGCCUGCAAUCCCAACAACAAUGGAGGAGUGUUCCUCUUUCUCCACAUCCACGCCAGCAUCUGCUGUCAUCUGAAUUUUUGAUCUUAGCCAUUCUGACUGGUGUGAGGUGGAAUCUCAGGGUUGUUUUGAUUUGCAUUUCCCUGAUGAUUAAGGAUGUUGAACAUUUUUUCAGGUGCUUCUCUGCCAUUCGGUAUUCCUCAGGUGAGAAUUCUUGGUUUAACUCUGAGCCCCAUUUCUUAAUGGGGUUAUUUGAUUUUCUGGAGUCCACCUUCUUGAGUUCUUUAUAUAUAUUGGAUAUUAGUCCCCUAUCUGAUUUAGGAUAGGUAAAGAUCCUUUCCCAAUCUGUUGGUGGUCUUUUUGUCUUAUUGACGGUGUCUUUUGCCUU